This 87-nucleotide transfer RNA is filed under the name Actinoplanes teichomyceticus. RNAcentral's name for it is "tRNA-Gly". The record is from RNAcentral. Lineage: Bacteria; Bacillati; Actinomycetota; Actinomycetes; Micromonosporales; Micromonosporaceae.
CCGGGCCGCGGCCUGGUUGACCGCCUCCAGCCCGGAGGCGCAGAAGCGGUUGAGCUGCACCCCGCCGGUGGUGUCCGGCAGCCCGGC